UAUCACGUUUAAGUACCGGUUCUCGAACGAUCACCGAAGUUAAGCAACGUUGAGCCUGGUCAGUACCCAGAUGGCUGACCGUUUGAGAAUUCCAGCUGCUGUAAG
This is a non-coding RNA of Acanthosepion pharaonis, 105 nucleotides long. NCBI's taxonomy places the organism in Eukaryota, Metazoa, Mollusca, Cephalopoda, Sepiida, Sepiidae. The record is from the annotation of a GenBank genome assembly.